Acyrthosiphon pisum (pea aphid) is the source of this 4835-nucleotide RNA transcript. It is a transcript of the gene named sterile alpha and armadillo motif, with no coding region annotated. The transcript is spliced from 13 exons. NCBI's taxonomy places the organism in Eukaryota, Metazoa, Arthropoda, Insecta, Hemiptera, Aphididae. The record is from RefSeq and is a predicted model, not a curated record.
CGGCAGUCAUCGUGUCGUAGUCGUUCAGAAACGCGUCGGGCCCGGUGUUUGUAGUAGUCGUCGAGUGUGCGCUCGUCGUACUUAAUAAUAAUAUUGUUGUAGUCGUUGUUGUCGUCGAGCGCUUCCGAUUUCCUAGACCGUCUGCCCGAAAGCUCGUCGAACGUCUCAUUGUCCGGUUUUUUUUUUUUUUUUUUUUUUAAUAAUCUUUGUCCGGUGAAUCGAAUAAAAGAGUCGAUUUUGAUAUUUUGAUCCGAUCGAAGUUUUUCUCUCCCCCCCUCUCUUCCCCCUCAUCAAACACGUCGAUUAUCGAAUUGACGCGUGUCGCAUCCGUCGUAUACGCGUACAUGUAUGCGAACACUCAGAAUUUCGGAACGCCUCAAGCCGCCACGGGCAUGCCGUCGCAGCCGCAACUCAUCCGUCCCGGAGGAUUGUUCACUCACAAAAAGAUGUCGGGGUUUCUACAUGAUGCUGACGGUUCAGACUUACACGACAUGAGUUCGGUCAUCGAGGGUUUUCAGAAGAAGAACAGCGUCGGAUCCAUGGGAUCGGCCACGACCGCCGGCAACCAUAUGGCGUCGUCGAAGAAGAACACGUCGUCGUCGUCUUCGAGUUCACGGUUGAUGGAGUCGUCGUCGUCCACGUCCUCUUCGUCUUCCACCUCUCAGCACGUCCUGCACCGACAGGUAUCUGAAAUGACGACCACAUCAUCCGAACUGCAAAACUCUCAACUUCUCCAGCAGCGGAUACUCAUGGACGCUGGUGACGUUACCGCGGUCAACUCCGCGGUUGCCGAUGACGCCGACGGCUGCAAACCUGUCGAUGGGGUAGACCCAUUGGUCACGUUUCCCGAGUCACCUCCCGUUUUGAUGUCCAACGUGUCACCGCUCCUGCACGCGUCCGCCACCCACCCCAAACCGGUCCGCGUGGCCGUGCAGGACGUACGACUGAAACAUCCGGCCCCGGCCACAGCGGCGACCACCGAGCGGCGCGUGUCCACGUCCAAAUUGGUCCAAGAGGCGUACGAGUCAUCGUCGUCGUCAAGCAGCACCAGCAGCACGGUUUCCGAUUCACAGGAGGUGCUCCACCAGCACGGUGACGUCCGUAAGCUACACGCGGCCAACGCGAUCCGGGCCAGGCUCGCCGGUACCAUCGGGAGCUCCAUCGCCAACCGUGAAACCGAGACCGCUCUGAACAAACACCAGGAAAAAAGAACACUGCAGAAAGCUGGAGCAAUAUCUCAACAGGAAAACCUGCAAAACACCUGUGCUGCCACGAUGAAAGUGCAGACCGAUUCGUUUAGUUCGGAAAAGAAAGCUUCGAGCGCUCAACAACAAAAACAGACAAUUACAUCUUCAGGAAUGUUUAACCAAGAAAAACAUAUUGCUCAGUCAUCACAAUCGAACUUUACGUUCACCAAAAAAGGCAUUUGCACGAGUUCAAAAGCCGUGUCAUCCGCCACUUCACAAUCAUCACACAACGGGUCUUCGUCUGGCGGCAGUGGUUCGUCGCCUCCAUCGACACAUGUGAUCAGAAGUGUCGACGAUCUGUUAAACACGAAUUUCGAUGAUCUAGACCAGAUGCGAGAGAUAGCUAACACUCAAGACGUGGAAAACGCCAUUAAAAAGUAUUCACUGUACCUGGAGAAUGCUGUCAAGGGACUGAUGACCGGAAAGUACGCCGACGCCAAAGGCCCGAUAAUGCUUAACAAAAUGUUCGAUAUGAUUUGCAAGGCGUGGGCCGUACCGACCUACGAACUUGGUUAUGCAUUGUGUAACACAUUCCGGGACUGUGGUGGAAUGGAUUUGUUGAUCAACAACUGUGUAUCCAAAGACCAAAAACUUCAGUUCUCCAGUGCCAGGUUACUUGAACAAUGCCUGACCACAGAAAAUCGCGCCUACGUAGUGGAAAAUGGACUGGAAAAGGUCGUACACGUUGUGUGCGCGUACAAGAGUCAAGUGAGCUCGGCCGAUCAAUCUAAAGUCAGUACUGGAAUUCUCGAGCAUCUAUUUAAACACAGUGAAAUGACAUGUAGCGAUGUUAUCAAACUCGGUGGUUUGGACGUACUGCUGUACGAGUGCCGCAGACGAGACAUCGCAACCCUCAGACACUGUGCCGGCGCUCUUGCCAACCUGUCGCUGUACGGAGGUGCUGAGAACCAAGAGCUGAUGAUCAAGCGCAACGUACCCACGUGGUUGUUUACGUUGGCGUUCAACACGGACGACAACAUCAAGUAUUACGCGUUCUUGGCCAUAGCCGUUUUGGUGGCCAACAAAGAAAUCGAGGCGGCCGUGCUCAAGUCCGAAACCCUGGACCUGAUCGACCCGUUUGUUACCACCCACACGCCAUCAGAGUUCGCCAAGUCGAAUCUCGCUCACGCUCAUGGCCAAAGCCACCAUUGGCUGGAGAGGUUGGUCCCGGUGUUGAGCUCAAUCCGAGAGGAAGCGUGCAACUUGGCCGCAUUCCACUUCUGCAUGGAGGCUGGCAUCAAGAAGCAACAGGGCAAGACCGGCAUAUUCAGCGUGAUUAACGCCGUCGAACCACUUAAGAAGGUGGCCAGUUGCCCCAACGCAAUAGCGUCAAAGUUCGCCGCCCAAGCAUUGCGGCUGAUCGGCGAAGAGGUACCGCAUAAGCUCAGCCAAAAAGUACCAUUGUGGUCACCCGAGGACGUCCGCGAAUGGGUCAGACAGAUCGGCUUCAGCGAGUGCUCCAAAAACUUCGUUGACAGCCGAGUAGAUGGUGACCUGCUGUUGCAGUUGACCGAACAAAAUCUUAGGGACGACAUCGGAAUACACAACGGAAUCAUGCGAAGAAGGUUUAUGAGGGAAAUACACAAUUUGAAACGAUUGGCAGACUACAGUAGUAGAGACACGACAAAUCUGAACUCCUUCCUCCAGUCAAUAGGUUCGGAGUUUUCCGUGUACACUUAUUCCAUGUUGAAUGCUGGCGUUGAUAGAGAUUCCAUCAGGUUCUUAUCAGAAGAACAGCUUAUACAAGAGUGUGGAAUAUCAAACAGCAUUCACCGGUACAGAAUACUAGACUCGAUAAGAGACAUGGAGACGCUAAUGGAAACGUCCUCUUACGAAGAAAACAUGAACAAACACUUGGACGUGUUCAUCAGCUACAGACGAUCGACUGGAUCUCAAUUGGCAAGUUUGCUCAAAGUCCACCUACAACUUCGAGGAUACUCAGUGUUCAUCGACGUGGAACGUCUGGAAGCCGGCAAGUUCGACAACAACCUGUUGCAAAGCAUCAAGCAGGCGAAAAACUUCAUAUUAGUAUUGACGCCAAAGUCGCUGGACAGGUGUAUCGGCGAUAACGAAUGCAAAGACUGGGUGCACAAGGAAAUCGUGGCUGCUAUACAAGACCAGUGCAACAUCAUCCCGAUCAUGGACAACUUUGUGUGGCCCGAACCGGAGACGUUGCCGGAGGAUAUGCAAAACGUGUGGAAGUUCAACGGCGUGAGGUGGAUCCACGACUACCAGGACGCGUGCGUGGAGAAGGUAGAGAGGUUCAUGCGGGGCGAACUGAACGGGAUCCGGGACGGCGCCAGUUCGGGACUGUCGCUGAACAGGUCCGGCGGCGGUGGCAUCGGCGGUGGCCCGUCCACCAUCAAGAGCGACCCGUCGGCGCCGAACACGCCCAUGACGGUGGGCAGGUCGCCGCCAACGUACCAGCGGACGCAUUCCAACGACAGCGAACGCGACCUGACCGGUAGCAAAGAUUGACUAGCGGGGAACACUUCCAGGUAUGGGACUGUGGCCGAUGUUUUGCUUUCCCGCCCGAUCCGGUUGCUACGUUUUGUGUCCGUCCGCUUGUUGUUGUCGUCCGUCCUGCAGCGGCCUCCGAGACUUCAUGGUUAGAUACCGGAAGUGUUCGAGACUACCUGCCUGGAGGCCACCAAUGAGUCCAAAUGGUCGCGGAAAGAAUCGGAAACGAGCCAAGAGCGUGGAAGGUCUAUUAGAGACUACCGCCGAACCGGAUCCGCGAGUACAGGUACAGGCUCAAAUGAAAAAGGCAAAGAGCCUGGAAGAGUACCUGGACACGUGCGAAGAAGACGCUGAAGACAGCUGUAGCGUCUCAGCGUCGGUCAGCGACAGCAUAAAGAAGAAAAACUUCGUCGACAAGUGUAUAAACAAAAUGAAAUCAUUUAUAACGAACAGCAAAAAGACUUCAACGGACUCGAAAUAACGAAUAGAUUUAUUGUAUUAUAUGGUAUAGUGUAUUAUAGUGUAAAUUUUUUUUUUAUGCAAGUUGUAAUUAUUUUCGUUUUUACAUUUUUUUAAAGUUGUUGUUGACCCAAUAUUUAUAUAUUUUUUUAAACCUAUACAUACCUAUAUUAUAUAUUUUAAUUUUACUAGUUGUUAUUAUUAUUACUAUUAUUACUAUUUUCUUUUGUAAUUAUUAUGUUUUUAUACGAGUUUAUACGAUGAUUUGUUUGCGUGUUUAAAAAAUACUGCAUUUAACAUCAUAUUAUAUUCUACUAUAGUACCUAUAUAAUCUUAAUACUAUUAUUAUAGAAUUUGUGCAAUACCUAUUAUUAUUAUGGUUUAUGUGGAUACUUAUUGUGUCAACGUAUGUUAUAAUCAUAGAUACUACAAACAACAACUAGAUACCAUAACAUUACCGUCUUUAUAAUAUUACGUAUGCAAUAUCGAUAGACUUAAUGAGUAAAUAUUGCCUGCUUGGCGAACUGCAGUUGACUUCAAUUAUGAUAAGAACAAGAAGACUAUACCUAGUGGCUAGUUGUUACACAUAUCUAUGGAUAUAAUAUUGAGUAUAUUGAUUGAUAACAUGUGAUUUAAAUGUUUUCAAAUAUAAAAGACAUUAAAACAACA